AAUGAUUGGGCCCUGCCCGCGACCGGGAUAACUCCGGGAAACCGGAGCUAAUACCGGAUAACACCGAAGACCGCAUGGUCUUCGGUUGAAAGGCGGCCUUUGGGCUGUCACUUGCGGAUGGGCCCGCGGCGCAUUAGCUAGUUGGUGAGGUAACGGCUCACCAAGGCGACGAUGCGUAGCCGGCCUGAGAGGGUGACCGGCCACACUGGGACUGAGACACGGCCCAGACUCCUACGGGAGGCAGCAGUAGGGAAUCUUCCGCAAUGGGCGAAAGCCUGACGGAGCGACGCCGCGUGAGCGAAGAAGGCCUUCGGGUCGUAAAGCUCUGUUGUGAGGGACGAAGGAGCGCCGUUUGAAGAAGGCGGCGCGGUGACGGUACCUCACGAGAAAGCCCCGGCUAACUACGUGCCAGCAGCCGCGGUAAUACGUAGGGGGCGAGCGUUGUCCGGAAUUAUUGGGCGUAAAGCGCGCGCAGGCGGUCUCUUAAGUCUGAUGUGAAAGCCCACGGCUCAACCGUGGAGGGUCAUUGGAAACUGGGGGACUUGAGGGCAGGAGAGGAGAGCGUAAUUCGCCGUGUAGCGGUGAAAUGCGUAGAGAUGUGGAGGAACACCAGUGGCGACGGCGGCUCUCUGGCCUGCACCUGACGCUGAGGCGCGAAAGCGUGGGCGAGCAAACAGGAUUAGAUACCUGGUAGUCACGCCGUAACGAUGAGUGCUAGGGGUUAAGGGGUCACAUCCCUGUACUGCUGCAGCUAACGUGAUAGCACUCCGGCCUGGGGAGUACCGGCCGCAAGGCUGAACUCAAGGAA
This 808-nucleotide ribosomal RNA is filed under the name Geobacillus stearothermophilus. Its description in RNAcentral is "bacterial SSU rRNA". It matches the Rfam family "Bacterial small subunit ribosomal RNA", at positions 112 to 908 of the family's 1533-position model. Lineage: Bacteria; Bacillati; Bacillota; Bacilli; Caryophanales; Anoxybacillaceae. The record is from RNAcentral.